UACGUAGGGGGCAAGCGUUGUCCGGAAUCAUUGGGCAUAAAGCGCGUGUAGGCGGUUCGGUAAGUCUGCUGUGAAAGUCCAGGGCUCAACCCUGGGAUGCCGGUGGAUACUGUCGGACUAGAGUACGGAAGAGGCGAGUGGAAUUCCCGGUGUAGCGGUGAAAUGCGCAGAUAUCGGGAGGAACACCAAUUGCGAAGGCAGCUCGCUGGGACGUUACUGACGCUGAGACGCGAAAGCGUGGGGAGCAAACAGG
RNAcentral lists this ribosomal RNA (253 nucleotides) under uncultured bacterium. Its description in RNAcentral is "partial 16S ribosomal RNA". It matches the Rfam family "Bacterial small subunit ribosomal RNA", at positions 524 to 776 of the family's 1533-position model. The record is from RNAcentral.